This 432-nucleotide unclassified non-coding RNA is filed under the name soil metagenome. RNAcentral describes it as "partial contains 5.8S ribosomal RNA, internal transcribed spacer 2, and large subunit ribosomal RNA". The stretch from base 1 to 120 matches the Rfam family "5.8S ribosomal RNA", at positions 35 to 154 of the family's 154-position model. The record is from RNAcentral.
GAUGAAGAACGUAGCGAAAUGCGAUACGUAAUGUGAAUUGCAGAAUUCAGUGAAUCAUCGAAUCUUUGAACGCAUAUUGCGCUCUCUGGUAUUCCUGAGAGCAUGCUUGUUUGAGUAUCAGUAAACACCUCAACUUCCAUAUCUUUUUUGAAAUGGGAGUUAGACUUGAGUGAUCCCAACGCUUUUCCUCACCGAAAAGUGGCGGGUUACUUGAAAUGCAGGUGCAGCUGGACUUUUCUCUGAGCUAUAAGCAUAUCUAUUUAGUCUGCCUAAAAAACAGAUUAUUACCUUUGCUGCAGCUAACAUAAAGGAGAUUAGUUCUUGUGCUGACUGAUGCAGGAUUCACAAAGACGGCUUCGGCCGACUUUGUAAACUCGAUCUCAAAUCAAGUAAGACUACCCGCUGAACUUAAGCAUAUCAAUAAGCGGAGGA